UACGGGAGGCAGCAGUGGGGAAUAUUGCACAAUGGGCGCAAGCCUGAUGCAGCCAUGCCGCGUGUAUGAAAAAGGCCUUCGGGUUGUAAAGUACUUUCAGUCGUGAGGAAGGUGUUAAGGUUAAUAACCUUAGCAAUUGACGUUAGCGACAGAAGAAGCACCGGCUAACUCCGUGCCAGCAGCCGCGGUAAUACGGAGGGUGCGAGCGUUAAUCGGAAUUACUGGGCGUAAAGGGCACGCAGGCGGUUAAUUAAGUUGGAUGUGAAAUCCCCGGGCUUAACCUGGGAAUGGCAUUCAAGACUGGUUAGCUAGAGUCUUGUAGAGGGGGUAGAAUUCCAUGUGUAGCGGUGAAAUGCGUAGAGAUGUGGAGGAAUACCGGUGGCGAAGGCGGCCCCUGGACAAAGACUGACGCUCGAUGUGCGAAAGCGUGGGGAGCAAACAGGGAUUAGAUACC
RNAcentral lists this ribosomal RNA (454 nucleotides) under uncultured bacterium. RNAcentral describes it as "bacterial SSU rRNA". It matches the Rfam family "Bacterial small subunit ribosomal RNA", at positions 340 to 786 of the family's 1533-position model. The record is from RNAcentral.